GCCGGGCGUGGUGGUGCGUGCCUGUAGUCCCAGCUACUCAGGAGGCUGAGGCAGAAGAAUCACUUGAACCCAGGAGGCAGAGGUUGCAGUGAGCCGAGAUUGCGCCACUGCACUCCAGCCUGGGUAACAGAGCGAGACUCUGUCUCAA
This 148-nucleotide signal recognition particle RNA is filed under the name Pan paniscus (pygmy chimpanzee). RNAcentral's name for it is "Metazoan signal recognition particle RNA". It matches the Rfam family "Metazoan signal recognition particle RNA". Rfam says of the family: The signal recognition particle (SRP) is a universally conserved ribonucleoprotein. It is involved in the co-translational targeting of proteins to membranes. Lineage: Eukaryota; Metazoa; Chordata; Mammalia; Primates; Hominidae. RNAcentral also lists the same sequence under 1 other name. The record is from Rfam by way of RNAcentral.